UAAUUCUUUUUGGUUAACUUUUUCUUUAAAACAAUUUUUUUUUAUUUUAAUCAUUUGAGUAAAAUGGGAUUGGGUUUUCAAAUAGUGAAGUAGGUAUCUUGUAUUUUGUUCACUUACCUUUUCUAAAAAAUUAACUAUGUGGCCAGCUAAUUUUUAAGUUAGUUAAAGUAUAAUGCAAAUACCAUAAAAAUCUUUGGAAACUGGUAUGCAGUUUAUAAAAUGUGAUUUCAGAACUGCUUUAAGUUGGAUGAUAAAGUAGAUCUAAUUUGGAGUAAGUUUUCAAGGUUCAAAACAAUUUAAACAGGAUAUUUAAGUUCUAUAACAAGCUAAUAACACUUGAAAUGUAGUCUGAAAGGUAAUUUUGUUAAUUGAUUUGCCAAGUAUUUGCUAAUUGGAAGCCAGAAGAAAAAAAUGUUUUGCCACGUGGAUAUGAAGAUUUCCUCUAAAAAGGCAGACCAGUCUAAACAGAACAAGCCAGAGUUGGGUUUUUCCCUGUAGUUUGAAGAGCCCUACAGAAUGAUUCCUGACAAAAUGCAACCUGCAAUUGCCUGGAGAACAAUUCAGUAUUAUGUUAAAGUUUAUUAUGUAUUUAGUGAAAUAUUGUUCUGUUAGAAGUUGACAACUAUGGUGUAGUUGUCUAGCAUUAGAAAACUAGCCUUUGGGCUGAGUAGUAAAGGUAAGGAGAGCACAAGUAUACAAAGGCCAGUAUUUGGUGUCCAACUAAAAAUAAGAUCAUCAUGUCUACUUGAGUCUUUGCAGAUUAUCCUUUGCCUUAGAGGUUGUUUAGCCUACAUUGUUUUUAAAGUCUGAAUUAAUAUAGUUUUCUGUUUUUAUAAGUUCAGUUCCAGAUGUAAUAUUCCUCAAGAGUUUUAAAGGAUAACUCAAAUGGAUGUAUCCCAUGAAUUUUAAGACAGUAGGAAAAUUGUUAAGGCUUAAUUCUCUUUCCAGUAAUUUGAGCAGGCAUAGCAUUCAGAGGCCUACUUCUGUAUUUGCAAUUUAGUCAUGCUGUUUGAGUUGUUUGCGUUUAAUGUAAACAAAUAAAAUUCCAUAUUUUGAGACUGUUUGUUAAGAAAUUGUCCAGAAUGAGCAUAUUAAAAUAAAAAUUUUAAGGUCA
Leopardus geoffroyi (Geoffroy's cat) is the source of this 1114-nucleotide long non-coding RNA. RefSeq lists it as uncharacterized. The record is from RefSeq and is a predicted model, not a curated record. Lineage: Eukaryota; Metazoa; Chordata; Mammalia; Carnivora; Felidae. The transcript has 2 exons.